Molecule: long non-coding RNA, 1307 nt
Filed under: Triticum aestivum (bread wheat)
Lineage: Eukaryota; Viridiplantae; Streptophyta; Magnoliopsida; Poales; Poaceae
Description: long non-coding RNA (TAES_LNC026145)
Source: RNAcentral
GACUCCGGUGCCCCCUCCGUCGUUCUCCUCCUCCCCCUCUCCCCCGUCCUUCGUUUCUAGGUAAGGUUCUUGGUCUGGUUGUUGAUGCGUCCAAUGCUUUCUGCUACUGUUAAUGUCCAAGGUACGGGUCUGGUGCGAUUCAUAAUUUAUUGGGGAAACUUGUGGCUAGUUAGCUUAUUUGUGGCUGAGGGCAAUCCACUCUUUUUAGUUCGGGAUUUGAGCAAACUGUACGAUAGUUUUGUGGUGUUUGAUAGGACUAAGAGCAUCUGAAUCCUUCUGAAUUUCAUGUCAUGUUCAUUGGUGUGUGCCUUCAGUAACCAAAUGUUUCUGCUGAUUUUAAUCUACUCCAAGCACCACAUUUGAUUUACUAAUCUGGUCACAUUGCUCAGAGCAGCUUGCAUGUUUGAUCAGUUAUUUUCUGCAAUCAGUGUUCAGGUUGGCUCCAGUGGUAAUGAUACCAGUGUUACAUAUUUGGCUAAAUGAUAUUUAUGUUCUGAUUGAGAGGAACGCCAAAGUGGCUGGCAUUCCUACCUCAUAAGUAGAACGAACAUGAACAUGGCGAUUGGUUCAUAAUGUGUUGUGGGCACACAAAACGUUGGGAGCACUCCUCACAAAAUGUGCUCAACUACAAAAUUGGACGUUCUCUGCUUCGUAUUUUCAUAAAUUAUGGUGCACUGGUACAUAAACAUGGUUUAUUAGUUACUCGUUGUAUACCUAAAAUCGUAGCAUGACUCUGGUGUUGUGUAUUGUUCAAUGUUCAGCAAGCAAAGGAAAUAGUGAAAUUAAAGUUACAGUGAUUUUUCUGUUCUGAAAAGAGCUACAUAGAGUCGAGAAUGUCAACUUUUCAUUGUACUAAUAUUGCUUCAGUUUAAACUAUCCCACAUGAUUAAAUACUUUUACAUCUCCAAGAAAUAGAAUAACUGUAAAAUCCUAGAAUAUUUGUGAAUGAUGAGUUUGUUUUGUUGACAGAAUAAUGGUCGGAGGUGCUUCUGCUGAACCACAUUUGUGAAUGAGCAUAGAACUGCAGAGUUAUUUGUUAACAUUCAGCUACAGAAUUAUUUUGUGUAAGAUUUAGAUCAUCUCACUUCACUGUUGCGUGACCGUUGGUCUCUUCCUCUACCAUUCUGACUUGUCAUGGUUUGUAAUUUCCAGCUAUAUUUUCAACUGGAAAUAGAUCAUAAGAGUUACUUACUUGCCUUUGAGGUACUCAUAUAUGCUUAUGUUCAUGGCCUAUCACAGUUGUAUGUUCUUUGCUUAUAUUGCCAUCUUUCUGUAAUGAGCUUAUUUAUAGAAGUAAGUAUUUUUAG